UACGUAGGGGGCGAGCGUUGUCCGGAUUUACUGGGCGUAAAGCGCGUGUAGGCGGCUCUUUAAGUUGGGUGUGAAAGCCCGGGGCUCAACCCCGGGACGCCGCCCAAGACUGGGGAGCUUGAGGACGGAAGAGGGGCGUGGAAUUCCAGGUGUAGCGGUGAAAUGCGUAGAGAUCUGGAGGAACACCCGUGGCGAAGGCGGCGCCCUGGUCCGUUUCUGACGCUGAGACGCGAAAGCGCGGGGAGCGAACGGG
RNAcentral lists this ribosomal RNA (253 nucleotides) under uncultured bacterium. RNAcentral describes it as "partial 16S ribosomal RNA". It matches the Rfam family "Bacterial small subunit ribosomal RNA", at positions 524 to 776 of the family's 1533-position model. RNAcentral also lists the same sequence under 1 other name. The record is from RNAcentral.